This 595-nucleotide long non-coding RNA is filed under the name Gallus gallus (chicken). RNAcentral describes it as "long non-coding RNA NONGGAT003510". The record is from RNAcentral. Lineage: Eukaryota; Metazoa; Chordata; Aves; Galliformes; Phasianidae.
GGCAUCUUCAUGCAGGGUCUCCUGGGAGCAGUGUGAGCGUGCUGUAAGUUAUUUGCAUCGUGCUCAUCCUAUGCUGUGAGGAUGGAAGAGGCUCAGGCAGCGCGGUGAGGGGCUCUGAAGGGUGUAUGGUCUGCUAGCUGGCGUGGGGACCGCGAGAGCCUUCAGGAAAGGAAAGAGGAGGAUACGAUUUCAUGCUGCUUCACUUCUGUGGUUUCUUUUGUUUUGUCUCUUUCUUGAGUAUAGCGUAUGGACAGCGCCGUGGGUUAGGGAGCACUGCGUCUUCAGAGGCUUUUCCUAUAUAGCCUUCCACUGAAGUCAAUGGGCGUGGAGAUCUGUUUGUAGCUGUUGGAAGAGUGCAAGCAGUGAGUAUCAGCGUGGGAGACUUCACCAGUACUGCAUGAGCACUUGCCACUGCUGUCAAACAUUGCCAGCCCUGUUAUGGCCAAUUCAAAUACGACUUCACUGUUGAUCUGUGAGUUGAGUGGGGUUUGAGUGUAGGGCUGAAUGUCCCUGAGUGAAGUGUUUGUGCUCCCGAUGCUCAGCACCUCUUGCUCUGCUGUGAUUUAUUUGUUGUACCAGUUCUGGUGUAGUCUGC